Molecule: long non-coding RNA, 395 nt
Organism: Myiozetetes cayanensis
Lineage: Eukaryota; Metazoa; Chordata; Aves; Passeriformes; Tyrannidae
Exons: 3
Source: RefSeq, a predicted model, not a curated record
AUUUACACAUAGGCCCCAGUUCAGCCCAGUUCCAUCCCAUUUACACAUAGGCCCCAGUUCAGACCAGUUCCAUCCCAUUUACACAUAGGCCCCAGUUCAGACCAGUUCCAUCCCCCAUUUACACACAGGCCCCAGUUCAGACCAGUUCCAUCCCCAUUUACACGUAGGCUGACUCACUGGACUGCGUCCUGCCCAGGCUGAGCUGUCACACGUGGGUCCCAGUUCAGACCAGUUCCAUCCACCCGUGGGCCCCAGUUCAGACCAGUUCCAUCCCAUUUACACAUAGGCCCCAGUUCAGCCCAGUUCCAUCCCAUUUACACAUAGGCCCCAGUUCAGCCCAGUUCCAUCCCAUUUACACAUAGGCCCCAGUUCAGCCCAGUUCCAUCCCAUUUACA